RNAcentral lists this ribosomal RNA (498 nucleotides) under uncultured bacterium. RNAcentral describes it as "partial 16S ribosomal RNA". It matches the Rfam family "Bacterial small subunit ribosomal RNA", at positions 28 to 507 of the family's 1533-position model. The record is from RNAcentral.
GACGAACGCUGGCGGCGUGCCUAAUACAUGCAAGUCGAACGAGAGCGACCGGUGCUUGCACUGGUCAAUCUAGUGGCGAACGGGUGAGUAACACGUGGGUAACCUGCCCAUCAGAGGGGGAUAACAUCCGGAAACGGAUGCUAAAACCGCAUAGGUCUUCGAGCCGCAUGGCUUGAAGAGGAAAAGAGGCGCAAGCUUCUGCUGAUGGAUGGACCCGCGGUGCAUUAGCUAGUUGGUGAGGUAACGGCUCACCAAGGCCGUGAUGCAUAGCCGACCUGAGAGGGUGAUCGGCCACAUUGGGACUGAGACACGGCCCAAGCUCCUACGGGAGGCAGCAGUAGGGAAUCUUCCGCAAUGGACGCAAGUCUGACGGAGCAACGCCGCGUGAGUGAAGAAGGUUUUCGGAUCGUAAAACUCUGUUGUUAGAGAAGAACAAGUGCUAGAGUAACUGUUAGCGCCUUGACGGUAUCUAACCAGAAAGCCACGGCUAACUACGUG